This 207-nucleotide non-coding RNA is filed under the name unclassified sequences. Its description in RNAcentral is "ilvB-OMG RNA". It matches the Rfam family "ilvB-OMG RNA". The record is from RNAcentral.
GUCACGCGAGCAGCAACGGCUGGUGGUGAGUACCCUCACUCCCUGGCCUACCUUGAGAACGGGAUAGUUCUCCAGGCUGUUUGCGGGUUCCGUUAGGUGGCGAUGUAAAGGCCACUCGGGCUCGACACUGCGCUACCUCGCAGGUCACCGAUACACGGGUUUCGUGAUCGUGGUCGUGUGUAGCGGUCCGGACCGAUCCGGCCAGUG